AUUAUCAAUAUGUACAUCCUUGGAAAGUAUACUACCAAGCUAGGCAGCAGCAAGACAAGUCAAAAAGGCAUUCUCUAGGCAGUGACCACCUUCAGCCUUUGCCACCACAGCAAGUUUCUCCUCUUCAGGAAGGAGCAGCCAUAGCCGAAUACUUCGAGAUUCACCCUUAACCAAGUGGUGCCUCAACUCUUUACUUUUCUUAUUCAUUUAUUUGUUUGUGUAGAAAGGGAGAAUAAAGUGGAUUAAGACAUUCAA
Trichosurus vulpecula (common brushtail) is the source of this 255-nucleotide long non-coding RNA. RefSeq lists it as uncharacterized. Lineage: Eukaryota; Metazoa; Chordata; Mammalia; Diprotodontia; Phalangeridae. The transcript has 2 exons. The record is from RefSeq and is a predicted model, not a curated record.